UUCUACAAGGAGUCUACAUAAAUGAUAAAAUUUAGAUGUGAUUAUUUGGGGCACCUGUUAGAAAAAAAUAUACUAAAAAAUAGAUUAGAGUAAAAAUUGCUAUAUAAAAAUACUUAUCAUCUUAUGCAUGAUGUCACUAUCCUCAAGGAUAGAUUUUACCUCUCGAAAAAUAAAUCUCGAUGCAACAGGUUUUUAGGUGACCACUCACAACAGGUGCGUCUCAAUCGUGUGCACUCAGGAUAUGAAGUCUCAGAAAUAUGCAACUAUCUUUGACUCGAAAAAUUUCUAUUGAAUUAUAUAAAUAAAACUUUAUGAAAAAGGAGAUCGAAUAAGCUAU
This 337-nucleotide long non-coding RNA is filed under the name Elaeis guineensis (African oil palm). RNAcentral describes it as "long non-coding RNA (EGUI_LNC028613)". The record is from RNAcentral. Lineage: Eukaryota; Viridiplantae; Streptophyta; Magnoliopsida; Arecales; Arecaceae.